CAAUUUGCAAUUUCCCGAAGUGCAAUUUUUAAUAUAUAUAUAUAUAUAUACACACAUAUAUUUCGCCGCCAGUCAUUGUGCUACUUUUCUUUGAACGCUGCCCAGAAGACGAAGAUACUUUUCACACUCUUGAGAGUGUCAAAGACUUUUGAAGAACAAUUGUUGGAGGAAGAUAUGAAACUGGGUGCAUUGAAGAGAGAGAACGGAAUGCCCCAGACUGAGCCAUGUCGGGAAUAGAUAGCAGCUGAGGGGUGGGAGCAUCUCUGCUGCAGAAAGCAGCAAAUAGGCAAUAUUCCGGAGAGAGGCUUUAAAUUUUAACACAGCGCAGUGGUGAGGGCAGCUGCCGCGCGCGCCCAUUCGUCCGUCCCUCAACCCCCGGAGCCGCGCGCGGUGUGCACUGUCCGUGCGUGGAUUGUGACGGAGGCGGCUAGGGGGCGCGCACGCGUCGGAGCUCUGCGCUGGUUGGGGGAGCGCGCACGGCACCGGCUGUCAUGGUGACGGAGCCGCCGGGACAGACGGGCCUGAGUGAGUGACAGAGAUUUUUAACAUCUCUGGAGCAGAUGGGAUUUGAACCCGGCCCUCUCGGUCCAGGGGUAGGAACAUUGCCACCGUGCCACAAUCUUGUCAUGAUCGCUUUUAUACAAGUGGAAGACUGAGAUGGAUCGCAGCUGGUUUCUGCCAUGGAGUCUGCCCUGAGACAUUGGAUGCUGUGGAAGGUUUGGAAGAGCAAAAAGAGAGCUGGAGUUGCCAGG
Molecule: long non-coding RNA, 752 nt
Organism: Rhincodon typus (whale shark)
Lineage: Eukaryota; Metazoa; Chordata; Chondrichthyes; Orectolobiformes; Rhincodontidae
Exons: 3
Source: RefSeq, a predicted model, not a curated record